GUCCUAGCCCUAAACGAUCAGGACUUGGGGUGCAUCCCGACGGGGUGCGUCCCGUAGCUAACGCGUUAAGUCCUGCGCCUGGGGAGUACGGUCGCAAGACUGAAACUCAAAGGAAUUGACGGGGGCCCGCACAAGCGGUGGAACAUGUGGUUCAAUUCGACGCAACGCGAAGAACCUUACCUGGGCUUGAACCGCUACUGACCAGUGGUGGAAACAUCGCCUUCUCGCAAGAGACAGUAGUAGAGGUGCUGCAUGGCUGUCGU
RNAcentral lists this ribosomal RNA (263 nucleotides) under uncultured bacterium. RNAcentral's name for it is "partial 16S ribosomal RNA". It matches the Rfam family "Bacterial small subunit ribosomal RNA", at positions 793 to 1055 of the family's 1533-position model. The record is from RNAcentral.